Molecule: long non-coding RNA, 2494 nt
Organism: Myiozetetes cayanensis
Lineage: Eukaryota; Metazoa; Chordata; Aves; Passeriformes; Tyrannidae
Exons: 3
Source: RefSeq, a predicted model, not a curated record
CUGAGAUGGAAUAUUUUUUCUUUCAGUACCUUUGUUCUACUAUUCUGCAAAAUAGGGGAUGUUCUAGCAGCAUGGCUGAUUGCCUUGAGAAGAUGUGACAGCAACAAGGACACGUGUGAAGGCACUGUGGUUUGUAAGGGUGAUGCAUCUGGUGCCUGCUGUCACAGAAGAGGAAAACAAGUGGUGUACCACUGCUGAAGAGCUUGAGCUUGCGCACUGCCACAAUCUCUCUCCUCGUCUCUUACCCCACGUAUUGGGUGAUGGGGGAAAUUAUCUCACCCAGGCCUCCUCCCUCUCUGUUACACGGACCCACGUCUCCUUCAGAAGAAUCCUACCUACGUUCCCGAUGACAGGAGAUACAGUGUCCACAUGCACACGUAGAGUCUGUGGGAAGGCAUGAGGCAACCUACUGUUAUGCUCAGCUCUCAGCAGACUUCAAUCCCUGUGGCAACCACUAGCAAAUGCUUACAGGAAUCGUCAGGACAGUGUUUAACACAGGGUUGCCUUCACACUGAAUGCACUCACUGGAAAUAAAGAGGAGGGAGCAAAUCACAACUGCUUUGCCAAAGGAAUGCGGGGCCUCCAAUUCUGAGAAUCUCUGCCUCAGGAAUCAGGCAGUGUGAAUGGUAUUUAAAUGUUACUGGGGAAGGGAGGGGAAGGCAGGUGCCAGUGAAUCUCUCUCUCAUGACACGCCUGGUCGCCAAGGCCAGCAGUGUAUGGCAACUGCCUGAUCUGGAAGGGUCACUGCUGUUCUGCUGCUGCUGCAGCAGUUUGUGUGAGAGCUUGGGUCAUCUGAUUCAGGCAAAAUCAGCCAAGCUAGUGUAACCCAUUGAAACAUGCAGUGUGAGUUUCCCUGGUUCUUUUUAUUUGAAGAGCUCACACAAAAAUGUCUGCCCAGCAGAGCCGCAGGAAAGGGGCAGCAACAGGCAAGUGGGAGGUAGUGAAGGCUUAAAUCAGAGCUGUAUGAAACAUGAACAUCUGUGGUUCGGUCAUUUGUCAGUACAGUUGGUGUUUGUCAACGUGGUCAAUGAGGUCAUUUGUCAAAACAAAACUCCGCUGAGUUCCCAGAUGCCUCGUUCUUCCACGUUAACUUUCCUAACGUAAGUGCAGGAAUAAAAAGAAUGUUCUUGUCAUUACAAGAAUAAAUUCAUUAAAGGUUAGAGCGAAAUCCAAAACAAUUACAAGGAAGCAUUUACCUCUCCACAGACAACAUCUCUCUGUUAUUUUUUCCAGCAAUUUGGAAAACUAGUUAAAAAAAUGGAUUAUUGUACUCUGUUUUAAACUAAUCAGUAAUGCUAACAUUUGCUAUUUCCUAUAAACACUAUUUUUAAAAGCCUUUCUAAAUUGAUGUUUUUAAAUAAAAAUAAUUUUCUUACUCCCUUCAGUCAUCACAGGUCAUUGGGCAUGGGUAGCUGAGGAGGUUUAAUAGGUCAGAGUCUAUUUUCCCACUAGUUUGAUCCAAUUAGGUUAAGACAGCAGUGACUAAAAAGUGUUAGCAUUACAGAGUGACUUGACUCCUUUUCUCCAGGAGAAAUGUCUCUGAUCCCAUGAUAUUGAUGUACGAAUGCAGGUUCAUUGACCAGUAGCGACAUCCAUUAACUUAAAUGAGUUGAAAUGAUUGAAACCUAGUCCCUGAACAACAGGAGUUUGCAUCUUAUAACCUCUUUUCUCCACUAUGCCCCAGUCCCAUGUCGUCAUGCUGCCAACAGUUUCAGAAAAUUUAGGAAAACUAAAGAUGCAAGAAUUCACUUUUAAUCCAUAGACUGACUGUUCACCACUGUGACUGACAUAUGCUUCUUGGUAAACUCUAAAACACUUAUGAUGCAACUCUGUUCUGUGGAUAAACAGUGGGACAAGAUCCCCAGGAAGGGAAGAUUUUAAUAAAGCUUUUCAAAUACAUAAUGUUGUAAAGCCAGUGACCUUCCAAAGUGUCAAGCAUCUUUAAUACGUCUCCGGGUGAGUGUCUGAAGCAGAAGCCCACUGACCUAACAGUCAGGUCUGAAUACCCUGCCUCAGGGUGUUUUUCACAAACAACACAUACACAUACACUCUGCUCAUAGCAUCUGUCUCUUCCACUUGCCUGAGAAUGAAAAAAACCAAAUAAGGGAAAAAGAUCCUUAGUCAAGCUAUGAAAUAUGAAUAAUUCUUCUGUGAAUUGAACUUUGAAGCUUAAAUAACAGAGUGGUUAAAGUCUGGGAAAAUGAAAGAUGUGCAGUUUUAAUUCAGUGCUACCCCAAAAACUCAGUUAAAACAUUUAAACAUCUUUCUUUACUUCAACUAGAAUCUUCAAUGGACCAAAAGUGCCUCUGGGGAAUCAGCAAAGCGCUCUGCAAGAUCUGAAGAAGAUUCGGGGGGAGGAGACCAUGGGGGGAAUUAUCUGCACUUCAAAGAGUUUCCUUCAAUAUCACUAUUUCAGAUGAAGAUUUACAAAAUGUUUAUUAUUUAUACAUUUAGUUAUUUAAACAAAUGUAAUGUAUUACUCAGAUGAGAACAA